Molecule: long non-coding RNA, 410 nt
Organism: Penaeus vannamei (Pacific white shrimp)
Lineage: Eukaryota; Metazoa; Arthropoda; Malacostraca; Decapoda; Penaeidae
Source: RefSeq, a predicted model, not a curated record
UUUCCUGUCGGAGUGCAUGACCACCACUAUUACGCGGUCAUCCCCAGUUCCCAUCACCUUGAUUGACAGCAUUCUUCUGGGAAUCGAAACCUCGCUUUCUGAUUGCAUCCGGAUUCGGCUUAUCUUAAUUGACCUGAACGUCUUGAAGGAGAAGAACGGGAGAAUCAGAAUUAAGGACCAUAAUCACUCCAUUAUCCGGUAGAAUUUCGGCCUUAGCAGCUUCUCCGUUGAUGACGUCAUCUACGCACAGACUGACGAAAGUUUUUAUGAUAUGACGUCACUGCAUCUUGUAGCAUUGUUCUUUUUUUUCAUUUAUAGCUGCGUCGGAAGAAUUGGAUCCCAUCUUACAUUUUAAUGAAUAUGAAGUCGACCCCCUUUUCGUAAUACAAUUCUAAACCGUUUUGACUUAA